AAUCUGUUAAUUGUAUAUAACCUAUGUUUUAUGGUUUACCAACUGAAUUUAUCUUGUUAAUUUAAUUGAGUUUUAUCUAUCAUAUAUAUACAGGUCUGACUACCACCCUUAAGGAAAAUAUUUAAGGUGGAGUCAUGGAGCUCGGGCCACUCAGCAGAAGCUAUAGAUAUGAAGGAAAAUUCAUUGCCAGAACCACAGCACCAAAAUCUUAAGAUUGAGAAGAGCCAUAUUCAAGAAGCCUCAUCUACCUGGAUCUGAUUUAGAUGCUGAAAAUCUAUACUUCAAGCCUAAGCCUGAUGCAGUAAUAGCAUUAGCCAAGGAUCUUAGAAGGGGAGUAAGUAUAGUCUGCAUGUAGGAGGCACAUGAAUUAUUUGGGGGGUAGAGAUAGUUAAUCUAUGGUGGUUAAUCUAUGGACCUUGCAUUAGUUCCAAGCCUAAGUCUUAAGAGGACUCGAAGCUUCUGGUUUUGUAUAUUGGAAGCCCCAAGCUGCAACAUAAGAAAUUGAGCUGCCCUGCUAGAGGCAGCAUGGAGAAAGAAAGAGAUAAUCCCUAAGGUUACAUAACAGUGGUGGUGGGGAGUGGGAAGAGAUACAUCAAACUAGAUAUUCAAGCAUCUCAACCAAACCCAGAUUUACAGCUGUCCCCAUCAAAGUGUAAAACAUGUAAGUGUACCUCAUGAGUGUUCCAGCCCAAUUGAGCUCCUAAAUGAUUAUGAGCCUACCCAACAUUAAGUGGAACAAAACAACUUCCCAGCUGAGCACAAUCUUAUAGAGAAUCUUCUAAAGAUAAGAAAAUGAUUAUUUUAGGCCACUAAGCUUUGGAGUGAUUUGUUAUACAAUAAUAAGUAACUCACUUAUCAAAUGAAAACUGAAUAUUUUGGAAGUCAGACUCGAUAGAGAAAUUAAAAGGCAAACUACAAACUAUGAAAAAGUAUGUGUCAUGAACAUACCACUGGUUAAUAUCCUUAUAAUGAAAAAGAGCUCACUGUGAAACCUCAACCUAAUCAUCAAGUACUCAACAGAAAACAAUGGACAAAGGACAUGAUCUGUUUACUCACAGCAGGGACAAUCAAAACAGCUAAUAAGUAUGAAAAAGUUCUAAUCAUUAUUUAAAAGAUCAUUAAUAUUCAAAUACUAUUGGUGAGAAGGUAGAGUGGUAAGAUCUUUCUAGAGAGCAAAUCUGCCAAAGGCCAUCUCUAGAAAUACAUGAGGGCAUAAUCACAGAUCCAAAGAAACAGCUACAGAAAGGAUGUUAAUUUCAAAUCGAAUAUCCAACAAUAUAGAAAAUGUUUAAGGAAAGUAUUAAGUAUCUAUAUUUGAGGGUAUUCUACAUCUUUCAGGUUUUUAAGAAAAUUCAGGUAACAUGCUUAUAAUGUCAAGUUUUAAAAAGCACAAUAUAAAAUUAUUUUUAUAUAUACAUAUAUACACCCAUAUUAUUUUGAUCCAAGUUUUUAAAAAUAAAUGAAAAAUAUGCUUAUAUAUAAAUACCAAGGCUGAAAGGAAAUAAAAUUGUUAAAAGUGGCAGUAGGAUUAUAACUACUUUUGUUGUCUGUGCAUCUAUUUUCUAAAUUUUCUAUAACUAUUAUUUUCACAUUCAGUAAAAACAAGAAUGUUAUUCUUUAUAAGUUACACUGGUUAAUCUACUGAUCAAGGUACUUAAGAAUAGUUCCCCAACUGGAGAUAUUUAAUAAAAUUAUCUUUUGGAAUUUGGGAGAGAAUUUAGAAAUGACCUGAUAUGAUCUACCAUUCAACAGAUGAGAAAAUAGAUCUAGAGAUUUAGGUGCCCAAACUUGUUGAAGUAUUCAGAGGCAGAACCUUACUUAGAAUUCAGAUUGUUUAUCCACUGGCCAGUACACAUGUUUACACUCCUUUAGGAGCUACCUAUAAUAGUGAUUCAAAUAAGAACUAAAGAUCUAAGUAUUUUGGAGGAUGAAAGGCUGAGGUGCAAUACCUAAUUUUCCCUAAGAAAAGACAACUCUGGGCAGACGAGUGUCUUUUAUGGUCAAUUACUCUAGUGGGGAAGAACUAAAGA
Long non-coding RNA from Canis lupus familiaris (dog), 2030 nucleotides. RefSeq lists it as uncharacterized. Lineage: Eukaryota; Metazoa; Chordata; Mammalia; Carnivora; Canidae. The transcript has 3 exons. The record is from RefSeq and is a predicted model, not a curated record.